This 756-nucleotide ribosomal RNA is filed under the name Bacillus thuringiensis. RNAcentral describes it as "bacterial SSU rRNA". Lineage: Bacteria; Bacillati; Bacillota; Bacilli; Caryophanales; Bacillaceae. The record is from RNAcentral.
UCAGGAUGAACGCUGGCGGCGUGCCUAAUACAUGCAAGUCGAGCGAAUGGAUUAAGAGCUUGCUCUUAUGAAGUUAGCGGCGGACGGGUGAGUAACACGUGGGUAACCUGCCCAUAAGACUGGGAUAACUCCGGGAAACCGGGGCUAAUACCGGAUAACAUUUUGAACYGCAUGGUUCGAAAUUGAAAGGCGGCUUCGGCUGUCACUUAUGGAUGGACCCGCGUCGCAUUAGCUAGUUGGUGAGGUAACGGCUCACCAAGGCAACGAUGCGUAGCCGACCUGAGAGGGUGAUCGGCCACACUGGGACUGAGACACGGCCAGACUCCUACGGGAGGCAGCAGUAGGGAAUCUUCCGCAAUGGACGAAAGUCUGACGGAGCAACGCCGCGUGAGUGAUGAAGGCUUUCGGGUCGUAAACUCUGUUGUUAGGGAAGAACAAGUGCUAGUUGAAUAAGCUGGCACCUUGACGGUACCUAACCAGAAAGCCACGGCUAACUACGUGCCAGCAGCCGCGGUAAUACGUAGGUGGCAAGCGUUAUCCGGAAUUAUUGGGCGUAAAGCGCGCGCAGGUGGUUUCUUAAGUCUGAUGUGAAAGCCCACGGCUCAACCGUGGAGGGUCAUUGGAAACUGGGAGACUUGAGUGCAGAAGAGGAAAGUGGAAUUCCAUGUGUAGCGGUGAAAUGCGUAGAGAUAUGGAGGAACACCAGUGGCGAAGGCGACUUUCUGGUCUGUAACUGACACUGAGGCGCGAAAGCGG